CUUGUUUAUUAACAGCUGAAUCUACGUUAGUGUUUUGGUGUUUAUACUACUAUUUAACAUGUGACAGACGAAAGUAUUGUACUCUUUCACGUUCACUUUGUAAUAGAUCAGAAAAUAAAAUUCAAGAUACUUCCAAGGAUGGCAUUACCUGUGUAUGUACUCACAGUGGUAUACAUAUUCAGUUUCGUAGGAAGAUCUUUCGGGAGGGGAAACUAUGGAGACUGUAUAAAGUAUGCCGUGUGGGAAAACAAACCUGAGCUUACAAAUGGUGACAGGUUUUGUUUAACAGAAGGCGAUUCUGUGUAUUGUAAGGAAUUUGAGUGUCCUGUCACUGAGUGCGAACAGCCAAUAGUUCCCGAGACAGAUGGAUGUUCUUACUGCAAAGACACAUGUAGUUAUGGAGGAGCCGUUUAUCCAGUUGAACCAGGGUUUCUGAUAGACUGCCUGGAUGGAUCCAACCGCUGUUCAUGUGGCACUAAUAACAGGAUAGCAUCUUCAAGAAGGGGAACAAAUUCAAGAUGGAUGUGUUUAAAGAAAAGAUCUUAUAAAAGCUAACGAUUCAUGAUAAAUGAGAGAAAAAAAAAUUAGAAAAAGGAAACUCUCAAGCUGUUUUUUCCUGUAAUUGUUGUUUUCAAAGAUAAUAGGAAGAAAAAUAAAGAUUCUCGUGUA
This is a long non-coding RNA of Mytilus californianus (California mussel), 669 nucleotides long. RefSeq lists it as uncharacterized. The record is from RefSeq and is a predicted model, not a curated record. The transcript has 4 exons. NCBI's taxonomy places the organism in Eukaryota, Metazoa, Mollusca, Bivalvia, Mytilida, Mytilidae.